GGCCUAACACAUGCAAGUCGAGGGGUAUAGUUCUUCGGAAUUAGAGACCGGCGCACGGGUGCGUAACGCGUAUGCAAUCUACCUUUUACAGAGGGAUAGCCCAGAGAAAUUUGGAUUAAUACCUCAUAGUAUAAUGACCUGGCAUCAGGAUGUUAUUAAAGUCACAACGGUAAAAGAUGAGCAUGCGUCCCAUUAGCUAGUUGGUAAGGUAACGGCUUACCAAGGCUACGAUGGGUAGGGGUCCUGAGAGGGAGAUCCCCCACACUGGUACUGAGACACGGACCAGACUCCUACGGGAGGCAGCAGUGAGGAAUAUUGGACAAUGGGCGCAAGCCUGAUCCAGCCAUGCCGCGUGCAGGAUGACGGUCCUAUGGAUUGUAAACUGCUUUUAUACGAGAAGAAACACUACUUCGUGAAGUAGCUUGACGGUAUCGUAAGAAUAAGGAUCGG
RNAcentral lists this ribosomal RNA (450 nucleotides) under uncultured Flavobacteriia bacterium. RNAcentral's name for it is "bacterial SSU rRNA". It matches the Rfam family "Bacterial small subunit ribosomal RNA", at positions 45 to 496 of the family's 1533-position model. The record is from RNAcentral. Lineage: Bacteria; Pseudomonadati; Bacteroidota; Flavobacteriia.